This 465-nucleotide ribosomal RNA is filed under the name Vreelandella stevensii. RNAcentral describes it as "partial 16S ribosomal RNA". It matches the Rfam family "Bacterial small subunit ribosomal RNA", at positions 338 to 795 of the family's 1533-position model. The record is from RNAcentral. Lineage: Bacteria; Pseudomonadati; Pseudomonadota; Gammaproteobacteria; Oceanospirillales; Halomonadaceae.
CCUACGGGAGGCUGCAGUGGGGAAUAUUGGACAAUGGGGGCAACCCUGAUCCAGCCAUGCCGCGUGUGUGAAGAAGGCCCUCGGGUUGUAAAGCACUUUCAGUGAGGAAGAACGCCUGGUGGUUAAUACCCAUCAGGAAAGACAUCACUCACAGAAGAAGCACCGGCUAACUCCGUGCCAGCAGCCGCGGUAAUACGGAGGGUGCGAGCGUUAAUCGGAAUUACUGGGCGUAAAGCGCGCGUAGGUGGCUUGAUAAGCCGGUUGUGAAAGCCCCGGGCUCAACCUGGGAACGGCAUCCGGAACUGUCAAGCUAGAGUGCAGGAGAGGAAGGUAGAAUUCCCGGUGUAGCGGUGAAAUGCGUAGAGAUCGGGAGGAAUACCAGUGGCGAAGGCGGCCUUCUGGAAUGACACUGACCCUGAGGUGCGAAAGCGUGGGUAGCACACAGGAUGAGAUACCCCAGUAGUC